This 253-nucleotide ribosomal RNA is filed under the name uncultured bacterium. RNAcentral's name for it is "partial 16S ribosomal RNA". It matches the Rfam family "Bacterial small subunit ribosomal RNA", at positions 524 to 776 of the family's 1533-position model. RNAcentral also lists the same sequence under 1 other name. The record is from RNAcentral.
CACGUAGGAGACAAGCGUUAUCCGGAUUUACUGGGUGUAAAGCGCGUGUAGGCGGCUCUGUAAGUUGGAUGUGAAAGCUCCUGGCUUAACUGGGAGAGGUUGUUCAAGACUGCAGGGCUUGAGGGUAACAGAGGGGAGUGGAAUUCCGAGUGUAGCGGUAAAAUGCAUAGAUAUUCGGAAGAACACCAGUGGCGAAAGCGGCUCUCUGGGUUACAUCUGACGCUCAGACGCGAAAGCUAGGGGAGCAAACGGG